RNAcentral lists this ribosomal RNA (489 nucleotides) under Xylaria carpophila. Its description in RNAcentral is "eukaryotic LSU rRNA". The stretch from base 188 to 341 matches the Rfam family "5.8S ribosomal RNA". Lineage: Eukaryota; Fungi; Ascomycota; Sordariomycetes; Xylariales; Xylariaceae. The record is from RNAcentral.
UCAUUAAAGAGUUAUUACAACUCCCUAAACCCAUGUGAACUUACCUUCUGUUGCCUCGGCAGGUCGUGUCUACCCGGUGAGGUCCUACCCUGUAGGACCCUACCCGGUAGUCGCGGGUAAGCCUGCCGGUGGCCCAUGAAACUCUGUUAAUUCUAUGUUAUUCUGAAUCUAUAACUAAAUAAGUUAAAACUUUCAACAACGGAUCUCUUGGUUCUGGCAUCGAUGAAGAACGCAGCGAAAUGCGAUAAGUAAUGUGAAUUGCAGAAUUCAGUGAAUCAUCGAAUCUUUGAACGCACAUUGCGCCCAUUAGUAUUCUAGUGGGCAUGCCUGUUCGAGCGUCAUUUCAACCCUUAAGCCCCUGUUGCUUAGCGUUGGGAGCCUACAGCCUCGCUGUAGCUCCCCAAAGUUAGUGGCGGAGUCGGUUUCCACUCUAGACGUAGUAAUUCUUAUCUCGUCUGUCAGUGAGGCCGGUCUCUCGCCGUAAAACCC